CGGGACGGGUGAGUAACGCGUGGAUAACCUGCCUCACACUGGGGGAUAACAGUUAGAAAUGGCUGCUAAUACCGCAUAAGCGCACAGUACCGCAUGGUACGGUGUGAAAAACCCAGGUGGUGUGAGAUGGAUCCGCGUCUGAUUAGCCAGUUGGCGGGGUAACGGCCCACCAAGGCGACGAUCAGUAGCCGACCUGAGAGGGUGACCGGCCACAUUGGGACUGAGACACGGCCCAA
Molecule: ribosomal RNA, 236 nt
Filed under: uncultured bacterium
Lineage: Bacteria
Description: partial 16S ribosomal RNA
Rfam family: Bacterial small subunit ribosomal RNA
Source: RNAcentral